This 87-nucleotide transfer RNA is filed under the name uncultured Cytophagales bacterium. RNAcentral describes it as "tRNA-Leu-CAA". It matches the Rfam family "tRNA". Rfam says of the family: Transfer RNA (tRNA) molecules are approximately 80 nucleotides in length. The record is from RNAcentral. Lineage: Bacteria; Pseudomonadati; Bacteroidota; Sphingobacteriia; Sphingobacteriales.
GUCCACGUGGCGGAAUGGCAGACGCAGCCGUCUCAAACACGGCUUCUCCGCGAGGGGAAAGUGAAGGUUCGACUCCUUCCGUGGACA